Molecule: ribosomal RNA, 253 nt
Filed under: uncultured bacterium
Lineage: Bacteria
Description: partial 16S ribosomal RNA
Rfam family: Bacterial small subunit ribosomal RNA
Source: RNAcentral
UACAGAGGGUGCGAGCGUUGUUCGGAAUUACUGGGCGUAAAGAGCUCGUAGGUGGUUUGUCGCGUUGUUCGUGAAAACCGGGGGCUUAACCCUCGGCGUGCGGGCGAUACGGGCAGACUUGAGUACUGCAGGGGAGACUGGAAUUCCUGGUGUAGCGGUGGAAUGCGCAGAUAUCAGGAGGAACACCGGUGGCGAAGGCGGGUCUCUGGGCAGUAACUGACGCUGAGGGGCGAAAGCGUGGGGAGCGAACAGG